This 4957-nucleotide long non-coding RNA is filed under the name Callithrix jacchus (white-tufted-ear marmoset). RNAcentral describes it as "lncRNA (ENSCJAG00000075296.1)". The record is from RNAcentral. Lineage: Eukaryota; Metazoa; Chordata; Mammalia; Primates; Cebidae.
CGGAAAAGAACACUGUGUGCUUAGACUAGAAGAAACAAACCAGACAUUCUAAUAAAUUCAUGGGAUGCCUUGGCAGAGUGGAUCUGCAGGAGCCCCAAAGGCAAAGAGAAUCUUCUCAGUCAAGUCACUUACAAGGGAAUUUAGAUAAUUAAGCUGAGACUAGGAGUGGAGGGAGGAAGAUUUCACAGCCUUAUGGUCUCAGGGUUGUCAGAAUCUCAGUGUCCUGAUAUCUUACUGGGAUCCCACCAUCACACAGCUUCACAGACCUCUGUGCUUCAAGGAAAUGGGCAUAAUUCCCAACUGGCUGAAGAACCAGAGAAGAAAAAACCAGAAACAAGCAAACAAAACACCUACAGCUGGAAGACAGAAGCAGGGGUGGUAACUGAUUUGGUGAAUCUGAGAACACUGAAUCCUAAGUUGACCAUGGGGAAAACCUAACACCUAGGGGAACUGAUGGUUCCAGGUCUCUCUGGAAGGGCAGGCUAAAGGGAAGAGUUGCAAUAAAGCAGUGAGGUUGAAAGUUGUUUAACGAGUGGUUAGAGCUCCAUAUCUCCUUUGUCCUUCACCCACCCCAAUAGAGUAUUGAAAAAUUAUUCUCUGAAGAGGAUAAAACAGAGGACAUCUAUUUCAUCUGAAGUGUAGCAAACUGAAGACAGACUAUUACAUGACCAUUAGUAGGGUAGAUACUGAAACACAGUGUUCUUCCACUGGAAAGCAAAGCACUGGGGACUAUGCCUCUACCUUCAGAAUCUUCUCUGGGAAAUCAGUAGAAAAAAAUAAACUGGGCUUUGUCAGUAAAAUGUCUUGGCUAGAACUGGUCCUACUGUAACAUAUAAGCUCCACUGAUAUACCCAGAACUCCCAAUCACAUUUUAAAUCCUAUUGCAGAUAUGAGCAGAUGACCAAGCACCACCUGAUAUUUUAGAAAAGCCUUUGACAUGAAAACUGGAGACUAAGACAAACAAAAAUUUUACAAAAUACUACUUAAAAAGGAAUAUGCAAACCAGAUAAGUGAAGAUAUUGUACCCUGAAACUGUGCAAGUACAACAAAAAUGGGAACAAAACUUUAAAAAUAAGAAAUCACAGAAAUUUUUAAUAUGUAUAUGAGAAGCACAAAACCCCACAGAAGUUCAGAAAACAAAGGUAGGUAUGCCGUAUUCAAGGGGCAUCCUAAGUUUCUAGUAUGGUAGACAAAUAUUGACUCUCACAGUGUACAUCUUAGUUAAAAAGUUUAUCCUAAACUUUCAGAUAAGGGGAAAUCACAUGAAUAGGAUCAGAAUUAGUAUAAAUUCAUGCUUCUCACUGGUAAGAUAUAGAAGUGGAGAAAUGCUUGUAAAACACAGAAGAAAAAGAAACUCUAGUCCAAGCCAGGGUACCGAGAAAACUGUGUGUGUAAAACAAAACACUUUUAGACUGUACCAUCUCCCCACCUUUUCAUAGCAGCCACUGGAGGAUAGGCUCCACAUAUGAGAGACUAAAGCAAGUAAGAGAAAGAUGAAGGAUGCAGAAAAUAGGAGCCUCAACCUAGGAAGCACCUGUGGGAUCUCCUGAGGGAAGAUUUGUCAAGGGAGAGCCCAGAAUGACAGCUGUGCUCAGACACCAAGGACAUCUAGUCCAGAAGAAGGUAGACCAAAAGGCUCUAGAAGGAUUUUCCUAGAAAAUCUUCAAGGAAGAUUUCUCAUUAUAUAUAUAAAAUCUCAUCAUAUAUACAUAAUCUCAUUAUAUAAUCUCAUCAUAUAUACAUAAUCUCAUCAUAUAUAUCAUAUAUGAUCUCAUCACAUAUAUGUGUCCCUGUGUCCAUGUGUUCUCACUGUUCAACACCUGCCUAUGAGUGAGAACAUGCGGUGUUUGAUUUUCUGUUCUUGUGUCAGUUCGUUGAGAAUGAUGGUUUCCAGAUUCAUCCAUGUCCCUACAAAAAACACGAACUCAUCAUUUUUUAUGGCUGCAUAAUAUUCCAUGGUGUAGACGUGCCACAUUUUCCUUGUCCAGUCUAUGGUCGAUGGGCAUAUGCGUUGGUUCCAGGUCUUUGCUAUUGCAAACAAUGCCGCUAUGAAUGUACAUGUGCAUGUGUCUUUAUAAUAUAAUAAUUUAUAAUCCUUUGGGUAUAUACCCAGUAAUGGGAUUGCUGGGUCAAAUGGAAUUUCUAUUUCCAGGUCUUUGAGGAAGCGCCAUACUGUCUUUCAUAAUGGUUGGACUAGUUUACACUCCCAUCAACAGUGUCAAAGUGUUCCUAUUUCUCUAUAUCCUCUCCAGCAUUUGUUGUCUCCAGAUUUUUUAAUGAUCGCCAUUCUAACUGGCGUGAGAUGGUAUCUAAAUGUGCUUUUGAUUUGCAUUUCUCUAAUAAUCAGUGAUGAUGAGCAUUUUUUCAUGUGUUUGCUGGCCUCAUAUAUGUCUUCUUUUGAAAAGUAUCUGUUCAUAUCCUUCACCUACUUUUGGAUGGGUUUGUUUGUUUUUUUCUUAUAAAUCUGUUUUAGCUAUUUGUAGAUUCUGGAUAUUAGCCCUUUGUCAGAUGGGUGGAUUGCAAAAAUUUUUUCCCAUUCUGUUGGCUGCUGGUUCACUCUAAUGAUUGUUUCUCUGGCUGUACAGAAGCGCUGGAGUUUAAUUACGUCCCAUUUGUCUAUUUUGGCUUUUGUUGCCAAUGCUUUUGGUGUUUUAGUCAUGAAGUCCUUGCCUAUGCCUAUGCCUAUGCCAUGCAUGGUUUUGCCUAGGUUUUCUUCUAGGGUUUUUAUAGUGUUAGGUCUUAUGUUUAAGUCUUUAAUCCAUCUGGAGUUAAUUUUAGUGUAAGGUGUCAGGAAGGGGUCCAGAAGAUGUUCUGCUUUCUGCAUACUGCUAGCCAGUUUUUCCAACACCAUUUAUUAAACAGGGAAUCCUUUCCCCAUUGAUUGUUUUUGUCAGGUUUGUCAAAGAUCAGAUGGUUGUAGAUGUGUGGCAUUGCCUCUAGGGCCUCUGUUCUGUUCCAUUGGUCUAUAUCUCUGUUUUGGUACAUAUAGUUACUUUUAUAGGCAUGUGGGUCAUAUGGUCUCCAUUGCAAUUACUCAGCUGCACCAUUAUAUAGCAUGAAAGCAGCCACAGACAACACAUAAAUGAAUGGAUACAGCUGUAUUCCAGCCUCCAAGUGAGCUGGUCCCCACUCUCAAGCAGUAUGUAGAAGGAAAUUUAUAACACUAAACACCUGUAUUUGAAAAUAUGUGUCUCAAAUCCAUAACCUUAGCUUUAUCCUAUGGAUUCAGAAAGAGAAGAUUAAAUUAAACUAAAAGUAAGCAGAAGAAAAAAAUAUACACAGACCAGAAAAAUAGGGAACAUCAAUGAAAGCAAAAGCUGGUUCUUAAACAAGAUCAAUAAUAUUGAUAAACAUCUGGCCAAGAUGAUGAGGAAAAUGAGAGAAGAAACAAAUUACUAAUAUCAAGAAUAAGAGUUGUUAUAUUACAACAGAGCAUACAGACAUUAACACUAUUAUUAGAGAAGAUCAUGGAAAACUCUAUGUAAACCGACAACUUAGAUAAAACACAAUGUUUUGGAAAGAAACUUUCUCUAAAACUUCACUCAAGAAAGUGUAGGCAAUCUGAUUAGCCCUAUAUCUAUAAAAAUAAUCAAAUAUGUAGUUAAAAACCUUCCCACAAAGAACAAAACCAACAUAAACAAGUAACUCAGAUUAUCUGGUGAAAUCUUUGGUGAAUUCUACCAAAUAGUUAAGGUCAUAAUACCAAUUCUGUAUGAAGCUUUGCAUUAAACUGAAGAGAAUAUUUCCCAAUUAAUUCUACAUGACGGCUCUGAUAUCUAAACUAGACAAAACCAGUACAAGAAAAGGCAACUAGAGAGAUACAUAUGUGAACACAUAUUUAACAUUUUAAAAAUCUGUAAAUCCAAUUUAACAAUAUAUAAGUAGGUAACACAUAUUAACCAAGUAGAAUUUCUCAAGGAAGGGAAGAUUGUUAUGGUAUCUGAAAUAUUAAUCAAUGUCAUCUACUAAGAAACUCAAUGAGAAAACCAUAUGAUCAUCUCAAAAGAUAAAAAAAAACAUUUGGCAAAAUCCAGUAUCUAUUGCUUAUAAAAAUCUUUCAAUAAACUAGGGAAAAAAGAGAAAUAUAUCAACCCAGUAAAGAACAUCUGUGGAUCUAUAGCUAGCAUCAUACUUCAUUGAGAAUAAGUGAAUAACUUCCCUCUAAGAUUAUAAUUCCUCUAAGAUUAUAUAUAAUAAGGUUUUAUAUGAGAUUAUAUAAUGAGAUUACAUAUGAGAUCAUAUAUAAUGAGACUACAUAUAUAUGAUAUAUAGAUUAUGUAUAUGAUUAGAUUAUAUAUGAGGCUAUAUGUAUGAGAUCACAUAUGAUGAUAUUAUAUAUGAACUUGUGUAUAUAUGAUGGAAUUUUAUAUGAUGAGAUUAUGUAUGAUGAAAUUAUACAUGAUGAGAUUAUGUGCAUAUGAUGAGAUUAUGUAUAUAUGAGAUUACAUAUGAGGUCAUGUGCAUAUGAUAUUGUGUGUACGUGAUGAAAUUAUAUAUAAUUAGCUUAAAUAUGAUGAGAUUGUAUGUGAUGAGAUUAUAUAUAUGAUGAGAUAUAUCUUGCAUGUGCAAAAAUACUCAAUACUCCUAUGAGUAUUGCCAAUAGAAAAUAAAUAAGAUAUAGGUGCCCAAGAUCAUCAAACACACUCUUCUUAAAGUGUUAGCUGUUCCCAUGUAAGUAACAUUUCCAGAGGAAAAUGAAUUCUAAGCUUCAAGUAGUUGUAUUAAGAAUACUUUGGAAAACAGUAUUUUUAUGAAUAUAGAGCUUCCUAUUUUCUUCCUGUUCUCUCUUUAAUCAACUGUACCUAAAUUAAAGGAGGUGUUUCACCUUGGAUCAAUGAGACUGAUCCAGUGAUAUUAAUUUCAGGAUACUUUUUGGCCAAUGAAAAUAAAAAUAUAGAUAAAGAUUUUUUUUUUAAUCCUAAGAAUUCUAGGAUCUCAUACUUACUGGAUGAGCAGA